Long non-coding RNA from Gadus macrocephalus (Pacific cod), 1843 nucleotides. RefSeq lists it as uncharacterized. Lineage: Eukaryota; Metazoa; Chordata; Actinopteri; Gadiformes; Gadidae. The record is from RefSeq and is a predicted model, not a curated record. The transcript has 5 exons.
GGGGAGAGCCGGGUCGAUUGAAACACUUUUCAGUUAAACGUCUUUUUCAAAGAUGACGUUACGUAUACAAAUAAUUUUAACAUGUGAUCAACAACUCACAGGUGUGUUCUCUUAGUUGCAAGUGAAAUUAAAUACAUAUGUUGGAUGAUCGAGCUGUUUUUUAACUUUGAACGUAUGUUGACAUUUGUUUCAAACGCCCCGCCUAGUCGGGACGUUUGAAACACGCAUGCGGGACGAAUGAAACAGCAUAUUUUAAAAAUAAUCUAUUGCCCUUACUCUUGUUUUUAUGCAACAUACCAGACAACAUACUAGUGUACUCUUCAUUGCUAAAAUUUCACAUAAUUCCGCAUAAUAUAAAUAGGUCAAAAUAUAUUUUUGGCCCGUGCGUAAUUGUCAAGAUGCACAUUUCGAUUAAAACUCACCUUUCUUCUUUUGGACGACUAAAUUUGCAUUCAAUUUACUUAUUUCCCUGUCCUUAGUCAUGUUUAAGGAUACACAGUUGAACAUCCUUUUAUUUAUUUUAAACAAAAACGACCAGGUCAACAGGAUAUCACGAGACCUGUUACAGCGGAAAUUUAUCCAAGCGCCGCACGGGGUUAAUUUAUUUUCAACACGCACAGCCCGGCGCACAGAAGCAUCCGGAGUCUCUGUGGACAGGUGACACAGGUAGUGUGUACUCCCGUCGGUGCAAGCCUCAUGCGAUCACACUGGACCCAAGGUGGGGGUGACUCCAUCAGCGGGCCAGGUGAUGGUGGGAGGAGCAGCUGAGGUGGCACCAGGGGUGACUCCAGCAAGGGGGGCGGCAUCAGGAGCGGGCGAGAAGAGCCUCUUCUUGGGAGCCCGAGAGGAGGGAGGCUGCUUGGCGGGAUGACGCUGCUUCAGAGUUCGGGUCGCCCGGCCUUAGGGUAAGACCGGACGAUGUCCAGGCAGAAUUCGAGGGCAUCUUCCUCAGGCCAGACAGCUUCGUCAGGCCCGGCAACUCGUCCAGUGGCACCUGGAGAAGCGCUGACCUCGUCACCUGAAGCCUUGGGAGGAGGACGGUCUGUGGAAUGGGAUCCGGUGAAGUCAUUUCCCUCAAACGCGGAGGGUUUAAAAGGCCAGAUCCCUGAACUUGAGAACCCGGAGGUGAUGUUCUUCACUGUUGCAGCCUCUGGUGGGACGGGUGAUUGUCCAGCAGGCGGAGCAGCUUCGACUCCUCGGACACGGGUGUGACUCCGCUGAGGUCACUGACCUGACCUGCUUCUGCCCCAUCUGGGCGCACCUGGACAGUGGUGACCCCUGUAAAUAGUUGUGUGAGCAUAGUUGUGUAUAUAUAUAGUGAUGUGUAUAUAGUUGUUUUGAUAUGUAUAUAGUUGUUAGCAUCGUUUCUACUAGUUAAGUGUAUAUCGUUUUUUUUCAUAUUUAUAUGGUUGUGAGCAUAGUUUAUUUUUAUAAAUGUAGUUAUGUGUUUAUAGUUGUGUUUUAUAUUAAUAAAGUUCAUAUUAAAUACCGGUUUCAUUAAUGUUCCAAAUAUCCUUGGCCUGGAACUGGUGCCUGUCCAGCACCGUCUUUCAAUUUUGGUAGAACAAGUUGACAUUGUUUUGAUUGAAGCUGGACAACCGUUGUUGGCUAGUGGCCUCUGGACGCCGAAGGGGGAAGCUGCUACUGCGCUCCAUGAAGGAGGUGAUCCAGUCCUUCCUCGACCAGGAUGCAGGGAAUGGGCAGCUGAAAUGCACGGGGUCGUAAACAGUUGAUGUACAUUUGUGUGUUUAUGUUUAUGUUAUUUGUUCAUAUUUAUUAAUUAAACUAUGUGCAUAGCAUACAUGUGUGCCUGUCCAAAAAUGUAUGUAGCCCUUUUCACAAC